Molecule: long non-coding RNA, 622 nt
Filed under: Ananas comosus (pineapple)
Lineage: Eukaryota; Viridiplantae; Streptophyta; Magnoliopsida; Poales; Bromeliaceae
Description: long non-coding RNA (ACOM_LNC003219)
Source: RNAcentral
GAUUUUCUCAAAAUCCGUGCAUCAAACUCAAAAUCCGUCAGCGCCAGUAGUUCCAGAAUAGCUGAAUCCUUCGAAAUGAGCUAUUGGACUGCUAUGAACGGGGUCCGAUACGCACCAGAAGCCAACUCUACUCCGUGGCCUCUCCGGAAAACCGGAGUUACUAUUCACUUAAGUGAAAACUAAUAAUCGUGUAUCUUCUCCGUUUUAGCUCAUUUUCUCCUGAAACUUGACGAGUGCUUAUGUAAUUAAAUUACACACAUAAACAUCGUCAACAGAGAGUUUAGUAGCACUGAAAAAAUCUCAGUCCUUACACAUAACUAAAAUUAAAUUUAGAUUUAAUUAAUUUUGUUCCCACUUAGGAAUAAGUUUAUUUUAGGAAAAAAUGUAGAACGACAGUUUCAGACUUAUAUUGGAUUAUACUAGCUUAUUACAGGACUCCGAGAACUAUUAUUCUCGGGUAUGAAAACUUAUGUUUGGGAACAAAGGGAGGAACGAGCUUAUUCCAUUUCUUGUUCCCGAACCAAACGCUGUCCUAGAAUAGGCGUAUAUUUAGGUUACAAUAGCUAGUUGGGAUUAACUUUUAGAUUAUUUUAACUACUUUUGAUGAAUUGAACAUGCAUGU